Pezoporus occidentalis (night parrot) is the source of this 249-nucleotide long non-coding RNA. RefSeq lists it as uncharacterized. The transcript is spliced from 3 exons. The record is from RefSeq and is a predicted model, not a curated record. Lineage: Eukaryota; Metazoa; Chordata; Aves; Psittaciformes; Psittacidae.
GGUGAAGGUGUUGGGGUCACGGUCAAGGUGUUGGGCAUGGUCAAGGUGUUGGGGGCAUGGUCAAGGUGUUGGGCAUGGUCAAGGUGUUGGGGGCAUGGUCAAGGUGUUGGGGGCAUGGUCAAGGUGUGUUGGGCAUGGUCAAGGUGUUGGGGUCACAGUCAAGGUGUUGGGGCAUGGUCAAGGUGUGUUGGGCAUGGUCAAGGUGUUGGGGUCACAGUCAAGGUGUUGGGGCAUGGUCAAGGUGUGGGG